UGAAGCACGAGCAACCCCCCAAACUAACCGCUGCAUCCUAGCAAGCUCCAUCGCCGGCGCGUUUCUCCGCCGCCGCCGCCGCUGGUCCUCGCCGUGGGGAAGGCGUCAGGUCAAUCUCCGUGACGAUUUCCUCUCUUGGUAAGACCAAUCGAGAGGAGAUAGCGGGAUCGGAAUCGUACCUAUCCUAUUUUUUCGUGUGUUUUCCAGUCUCUUAGGUCGUCGCCUUCCAACACCGAUGCCAAAUUCAUCCAGGGCGUCCAAGGGCUCCUCCUUGAGCUCUCUGCUCGCCUUUCUUCGGCUACUGUCGAUGGUGUAUCACAUUGUCCGACAAGGCAACAAGAGUGGACUUCGUCAAGGACUUGUGAGACCACAGAGAUAUCCAGGUUUAGACCCCUUCUAAUGGGCAAAAGGCCUACGUCACGCUUUGCUUCUUGAUUGUUUCAAGGAUUAUAACGGGGAUCAGUAAAACAUCAUUAGCCGUAUUUUCAAGAUUUACUUGCAAAUAUCUGAUGGCAGUAGCAUUAUCUUGUAUUGUUUUUGCAUGGUCAUAUCCAAAUGAUGUUGUUUAAUCAGGAAAUUAUCAAUUUCUUUUAA
Triticum aestivum (bread wheat) is the source of this 594-nucleotide long non-coding RNA. RefSeq lists it as uncharacterized. NCBI's taxonomy places the organism in Eukaryota, Viridiplantae, Streptophyta, Magnoliopsida, Poales, Poaceae. The record is from RefSeq and is a predicted model, not a curated record. The transcript has 2 exons.